RNAcentral lists this ribosomal RNA (471 nucleotides) under fungal endophyte. RNAcentral's name for it is "eukaryotic LSU rRNA". The stretch from base 138 to 291 matches the Rfam family "5.8S ribosomal RNA". The record is from RNAcentral. Lineage: Eukaryota; Fungi.
UUAAUAGUGCCCUCUGAUGCAAAUCAUUGGGUUAGAUCUGCUCUCUUCGCAAGAAGAGGGUUUCCAUACACACCGUGAACUGUGGCUUCGGCCAUCACAAACUGUUAGUAAUGAAUGUAAUAUCAUAACAAAAACAAAACUUUUAACAACGGAUCUCUUGGCUCUCGCAUCGAUGAAGAACGCAGCGAAAUGCGAUAAGUAAUGUGAAUUGCAGAAUUCAGUGAAUCAUCGAAUCUUUGAACGCACCUUGCGCCCUUUGGUAUUCCGAAGGGCAUGCCUGUUUGAGUGUCAUGAAACCUCACCCCACUUGGGUUUUUGCCUGAGCGGUGGUGUAUUGGGUGUUGCCUUGCUAAAGGCUCGCCUUAAAGACAUAAGCACCUUGGAUGUAAUACGUUUCAUCCUUCUGGGUGGCUGAUAACCCCACAUAUUCAUGAUCUGGCCUCAAAUCAGGUAGGGCUACCCGCUGAACUU